UGGGGAAUUUUGGACAAUGGGCGAAAGCCUGAUCCAGCAAUGCCGCGUGUGUGAAGAAGGCCUUCGGGUUGUAAAGCACUUUUGUCCGGAAAGAAAUCCUUGGCUCUAAUACAGUCGGGGGAUGACGGUACCGGAAGAAUAAGCACCGGCUAACUACGUGCCAGCAGCCGCGGUAAUACGUAGGGUGCAAGCGUUAAUCGGAAUUACUGGGCGUAAAGCGUGCGCAGGCGGUUUGCUAAGACCGAUGUGAAAUCCCCGGGCUCAACCUGGGAACUGCAUUGGUGACUGGCAGGCUAGAGUAUGGCAGAGGGGGGUAGAAUUCCACGUGUAGCAGUGAAAUGCGUAGAGAUGUGGAGGAAUACCGAUGGCGAAGGCAGCCCCCUGGGCCAAUACUGACGCUCAUGCACGAAAGCGUGGGGAGCAAACAGGAUUAGAUACCCUGGUAGUCCACGCCCUAAACGAUGUCAACUAGUUGUUGGGGACUUCAUUUUCCUUAGUAACGUAGCUAACGCGUGAAGUUGACCGCCUGGGGAGUACGGUCGCAAGAUUAAAACUCAAAUGAAUUGACGGGGU
Molecule: ribosomal RNA, 573 nt
Filed under: uncultured bacterium
Lineage: Bacteria
Description: partial 16S ribosomal RNA
Rfam family: Bacterial small subunit ribosomal RNA
Source: RNAcentral